GACGAACGCUGGCGGCGUGCUUAACACAUGCAAGUCGAACGGAAGGGCCCUGCUUUUGUGGGGUGCUCGAGUGGCGAACGGGUGAGUAACACGUGAGUAACCUGCCCUUGACUUUGGGAUAACUUCAGGAAACUGGGGCUAAUACCGGAUAGGAGCUCCUGCUGCAUGGUGGGGGUUGGAAAGUUUCGGCGGUUGGGGAUGGACUCGCGGCUUAUCAGCUUGUUGGUGGGGUAGUGGCUUACCACGGCUUUGACGGGUAGCCGGCCUGAGAGGGUGACCGGCCACAUUGGGACUGAGAUACGGCCCAGACUCCUACGGGAGGCAGCGGUGGGGAAUAUUGCACAAUGGGCGGAAGCCUGAUGCAGCAACGCCGCGUGCGGGAUGACGGCCUUCGGGUUGUAAACCGCUUUCGCCUGUGACGAAGCGUGAGUGACGGUAAUGGGUAAAGAAGCACCGGCUAACUACGUG
Molecule: ribosomal RNA, 468 nt
Filed under: uncultured bacterium
Lineage: Bacteria
Description: partial 16S ribosomal RNA
Rfam family: Bacterial small subunit ribosomal RNA
Source: RNAcentral